GUCCUCUCCAUUGGCUGCAGUUCUAAAUAAACUGCUCCGGAGUGUUCUGCAGUAUGUAUAUCUGUUCUUGUGUUCUCCACUCUAUGGACUACAUGGUCCAUAGACGACUCUGCUUUGACACCUGGAGCACCUCUUCUCAGAAGAUGAACCACCAGGGUGGUUGCCGGACUCAGACGUUCCCUGCAAUGGGUCUAUUGAAUAUGGCUGGGACCAGCUGCAUCUGUCACAGGGCAGCCACAGUCUUUCCUCACACAGGCCAUCCUGCAACCUGCAGCUGCCCACACCUUGCUAUAUAUGCCUAAUAAAUAAUAAAAUAGAAUAUUGAUUGAAGUUACAAACACAAACAAAAAUGCCAAAUAUUUGGCAUUUAAUAAAUAAUUUAAUUAUUAAA
Anas platyrhynchos (mallard) is the source of this 391-nucleotide long non-coding RNA. RefSeq lists it as uncharacterized. Lineage: Eukaryota; Metazoa; Chordata; Aves; Anseriformes; Anatidae. The record is from RefSeq and is a predicted model, not a curated record.